Molecule: non-coding RNA, 26 nt
Filed under: Rattus norvegicus (Norway rat)
Lineage: Eukaryota; Metazoa; Chordata; Mammalia; Rodentia; Muridae
Source: RNAcentral
CAGGGAAUUAAUGGGUACUAAAUGGU